Long non-coding RNA from Danaus plexippus (monarch butterfly), 755 nucleotides. RefSeq lists it as uncharacterized. The record is from RefSeq and is a predicted model, not a curated record. NCBI's taxonomy places the organism in Eukaryota, Metazoa, Arthropoda, Insecta, Lepidoptera, Nymphalidae. The transcript is spliced from 3 exons.
AAAAGAAGUUGAUGACCUCUGUCAGUAUUGAAAAAAGAAGAUCAUUUAAUGUCAAAUAUGAAAAUUUAACGUUUCAGUUUAAAACGAAAUACUUAAAAAAAAAUAUGUUUUAAUAGACAUGAAAUAGAUUUAGAUAUAUAUUUUUGGUCUAUUAUUAUGGAGUAAAAUAAUACAGAAAUGGCCCCUGCAAUACAUCCACCGUGCACACCCACCGCUUCCUGUACACCUGUCAGGUGCCACCCUACGCCGCCUCCAUGUAAAAAUCCAGAAAAAUGUUUGAAAAAAACAAUUUCGAAAGGCUUAAGGCCUUGUCAAAGUGCUUUAUCAAUUAUGUCAACAAGAUCCAAGUCAAAGUGUGGCAGUUGUGGUAAAUUUAAAAGCAAAAAUUCUGAUUCAAGAAGUGUCAAAUCAGUUGAAAAAUUCCUAAAACAAAAGUCCAAAGAAGCAAAAAUGCAGAAGAAAGAUAGAUUAACAGGAAGUAAAAGUUACGAAAAUUAUCAAAGGAAAAAGGGAAGUGUCAGGGGAAAGACAGAUUGCUGUGCUGGGAAAGGUCACAGAGGACGCCUCAAGAGAGGGAAGAAAUGUUGCGAAAUUCUUUAGUUAACGGAAAUCGAAUUCUAAAACACUCGUAAUCAAACUAAAAGCUGUUUAUUCAAAUAAAAGUCUAAAGCCAUGUGUCUCUGCACCGACAUGCAGUGUACACAAACAUAGACCGAGACCUGCUCCGUGUCCGGAUCCGGAUAAGUGUUACAAAA